AGAGCCACAGGCUUCCCUCAAAACAUCUCACAAGUCAGAUGCAGGCAUGAGGACAGAUGGAGAAACAUCACAGAGCCGUCAUUUCUGGAAAUUGACUCAACACGUAAGAGGAGCACUGGAUGAAUGCUUAGAGCAGAUAUCUAAAACCCAGGUCUAAUGCCAAGGAGGCGGUUGUCCCCCUGCUGUCUGGCAGAGGAUCACACUCAGAAACAGAUUGGUUUAUGCUAUGCUCAUCUGCUGUCCCUGUGUCUUCACAGAGGGGAUCUAAGCUGACAGAGCUGGGAUUCAGAGCUAUGCCUUCCAGCUCCCUAACACAGGCUUGAGCAGACCUGCAUGCUGAGACGGGGUUCCCCAACAUGUUGGGUAAGUAAAAUCCUCAUGCGUUUUGCAACGAUGGCGGUCUCUGUGCUCUUUGUGGGUGAGGAUCUUUUAGCGACCUACAACAGUCCUGAGGAUGGUGUGGCAGGAGCACUGUAAGCAUCCUUGAAUCUGGAUUUCAAAAGUAAAGACAGAGGCAGGAAAAAGAAGUUGAAAAGAAGCCUAGUGGUUGGCCCAAGGAUGAAAUACAGCGACAGCUAGGGGCUGUGACCUCACACAAGAGGAUAAGCCCGGGAUGGAGGUUGGUGUGUGCCAGGAGACUCUGUGAGGUGGUACAUUUUUCUGGAUUCAAAAACAAGAUGUGUUUUUAAAAACCAAAUGAAAUCACCUAAAGCUCAAAGAGUAUCAGCCUCGGAGGGAAGGACAUUAAAGCCUGAACGCAGAUGGCUCCACUCACAAGGCAGUGUCUUUAUCCCUUACCUUGUUCCCCCUACAGACUUACACCUGCCCCCAGGAGAAGAAAAGAGACAACACAGUGAGGAAGCUUUCUGUCUAUAUGCCUGGUUUAUAAACAAUCACUGUCUGAGAAAUCCUUGCACGCUAACUAUUUACACCUAAUAAAAUAUGGUUAUAUUUGUGUGAG
Molecule: long non-coding RNA, 961 nt
Organism: Mus musculus (house mouse)
Lineage: Eukaryota; Metazoa; Chordata; Mammalia; Rodentia; Muridae
Product: RIKEN cDNA 1700066O22 gene
Exons: 2
Source: RefSeq, marked predicted